RNAcentral lists this ribosomal RNA (301 nucleotides) under uncultured bacterium. RNAcentral's name for it is "partial 16S ribosomal RNA". It matches the Rfam family "Bacterial small subunit ribosomal RNA", at positions 509 to 807 of the family's 1533-position model. The record is from RNAcentral.
CAGCAGCCGCGGUAAUACGGAGGGAGCUAGCGUUGUUCGGAAUUACUGGGCGUAAAGCGCGCGUAGGCGGUUACUCAAGUCAGAGGUGAAAGCCCGGGGCUCAACCCCGGAACUGCCUUUGAAACUAGGUGACUAGAAUCUUGGAGAGGUCAGUGGAAUUCCGAGUGUAGAGGUGAAUUUUGUAGAUAUUCGGAAGAACACCAGUGGCGAAGGCGACUGACUGGACAAGUAUUGACGCUGAGGUGCGAAAGCGUGGGGAGCAAACAGGAUUAGAUACCCCCGUAGUCCCUGUCUCUUAUAC